UACAGAGGGUGCAAGCGUUAAUCGGAAUUACUGGGCGUAAAGCGCACGUAGGCGGUUUUUUAAGUCAGAUGUGAAAGCCCCGGGCUCAACCUGGGAAUUGCAUUUGAAACUGGGGAACUAGAGUGUGUGAGAGGGGGGUAGAAUUCCAAGUGUAGCGGUGAAAUGCGUAGAGAUUUGGAGGAAUACCAGUGGCGAAGGCGGCCCCUUGGCACAACACUGACGCUCAGGUGCGAAAGCGUGGGGAGCAAACAGG
This 253-nucleotide ribosomal RNA is filed under the name uncultured bacterium. Its description in RNAcentral is "partial 16S ribosomal RNA". It matches the Rfam family "Bacterial small subunit ribosomal RNA", at positions 524 to 776 of the family's 1533-position model. The record is from RNAcentral.